Molecule: long non-coding RNA, 847 nt
Filed under: Equus asinus (donkey)
Lineage: Eukaryota; Metazoa; Chordata; Mammalia; Perissodactyla; Equidae
Description: lncRNA (ENSEASG00005029403.1)
Source: RNAcentral
UUUAAAUAGAGCAUCUCAAGGAGCUAGUGGUCUAAGGAACAGAUUUUGAUAACCCUGGGAUAGGAAGAUCAGAGGUUAAAAAGCCAGCAUUUAGGCUGAGCCUUGUAAGAUGGGAGUGACUUAGUCAAAUAAAGAUGGAGUACAGAAUAUUCUAGGCAGAGAGGAGUCAAAGCAAAAAAACCCCAAAGUAUCAUUAUAAUUGAGGGCAGCAAAAAUCUUUUGUAGAAAUAUAUUUAUUCAUGGGGAAAAAAAUGGACUUACUGUUGGAAAGGAUAAAAGCCAAAAUGAUUGCAGUGGACAGUUGCUGUUUUGGCCUGCCAGGAUCCAUCCCCCAUUCUUCAGGAAACAGCAUCAGAAUUUUCCUCGGGGACCCCAAACUGAAAAAGUAUUAGAACUCAACAAAACUUGAUCUGCCUUUGGAAACAACCCUUCUCAUCACACUCACUUUGUGACAUUCAGGUGGUGCUGACUGCAUCCCAGACUCCGGAAGGGGUGACAGAUCCUAUCCUCGUCAUGCUGGCACUGGUUCCGAACCUGUUGGAAAAAUGUGGUCUUACUACACUCUAUGCAUUUGAUUAUCUGCCUGUUUCUUUGCAAGACUGUGAGGCCCUCACUGAUUCGUCUUUACAUCCUGACCACUUGACAGAGUACCUGGCAUUCAGUAGGUGCUCAAUAAAUGUUUGCUAAAUAAAUGAAAGACUUAAGUAACUUUUUUAUUAAACCACAUGAUGAAGGUAUCAAACAUUAAAAAUAAUAAGAAAGAUGGAAACUAAAGAAAUAGUCAAAUAAGGGGAGUGCCCAAAUAAGUUAUGACCAGAACCAUAUGACAGAAUUUUAUGAUGUAAAU